Molecule: long non-coding RNA, 820 nt
Organism: Monodelphis domestica (gray short-tailed opossum)
Lineage: Eukaryota; Metazoa; Chordata; Mammalia; Didelphimorphia; Didelphidae
Source: RefSeq, a predicted model, not a curated record
CAGCCUGUUGCUAUGGCAAUGAGCCUCACCCUAGCAUACCAACACCUCAGUGUUUGCAGACCCUUGGCUGGCAUCCAGGCAGAUGCAGAGCUGAAACCUGAAGGAAAAAAAAAAGAAGAAGGAAGAAUUCAACUUUAAAAGCUGGUCCCAGGCUGUUUCGUUGAGUUCAUCUUCCCUGGGAAAUGCCUGUUAGGUGGAUUUUGCAAAAGGUGGGGAAAGCAACCAGAGAGAGAGAGUCAUUGCCAGCAGCCAAGUUAAAAGAAGCAUCAGCACCACCCUGCCUGACCUGGCCCAACAGAUAGAUACUAAGAUGCCAUGUUCUACUGUGACAAGGGAGCCAUGCUAUCUGGAGUUAACUUAGGAGGAAAAAGGCUCUUCUAGGAAAUGAGGGUAAUAUAAAACAAAAGACAUCAAUAAAAACAACUUUAAAAGAAAAAAGGCCCAUCGUUUAAACACAACCAUUCUUUCUUUGAUACCUUAAAAUAAUGAGGAGAAACCUCUGAAGAUUUAAAGUUGUGGGUAUCCCAACAUGGAAAGACACAUGGAGGGCAUGAAUAGACUGUGGCAAACAGGGAAGAUUUGCACAGAAGUGGCAUGAAGAAUAUUCAUAGGAAGAUAUAUGAGCAAAAGAAGAGUUUUGUAGGCAUGUACUCCCCUGUAAUCAACACAAGAAGGGAUGUUCCAGGAUGACCUCUAGGAGGUCACUUUGGGGUUCUAUUUGUCCAAGGGUUUUUCCAGAUUGGAUUUAUUGUUAAUAACGAAAAAUGACCUCAAGAUUUAUAAAAAAUACCUUACAGACAUUAUGUACCCUGUGAAUUGG